AUACGGAGGAUCCGAGCGUUAUCCGGAUUUAUUGGGUUUAAAGGGUGCGCAGGCGGGAGAUUAAGUCGGCGGGGAAAUUUUGCAGCUCAAAUGUAAAAGUGCCUUCGAAACUUGUUUCCUUGAGUGUAGAUUAAGUAGGGGGAAUUUGUGGGGUGGCGGGGAAAUGCAUAGAUAUCACGAGGAACUCCGAUUGCGCAGGCAGCUUACUAAACUACUACUGACGCUCAGGCACGAAGGCGUGGGGAUCAAACAGGAUUAGAUACCCUGGUAGUCCACGCAGUAAACGAUGAUUACUAGCUGUUUGCGAUACAAUGUAAGCGGCUGAGCGAAAGCGUUAAGUAAUCCACCUGGGGAGUACGUUCGCAAGAAUGAAACUCAAAUGAAUUGACGGGG
RNAcentral lists this ribosomal RNA (393 nucleotides) under uncultured bacterium. RNAcentral describes it as "partial 16S ribosomal RNA". It matches the Rfam family "Bacterial small subunit ribosomal RNA", at positions 523 to 918 of the family's 1533-position model. The record is from RNAcentral.